RNAcentral lists this ribosomal RNA (446 nucleotides) under uncultured organism. Its description in RNAcentral is "partial 16S ribosomal RNA". It matches the Rfam family "Bacterial small subunit ribosomal RNA", at positions 335 to 797 of the family's 1533-position model. The record is from RNAcentral.
ACUCCUGCGGGAGGCAGCAGUGGGGAAUAUUGGACAAUGGGCGCAAGCCUGAUCCAGCCAUGCCGCGUGAGUGAUGAAGGCCCUAGGGUUGUAAAGCUCUUUCACCGGAGAAGAUAAUGACGGUAUCCGGAGAAGAAGCCCCGGCUAACUUCGUGCCAGCAGCCGCGGUAAUACGAAGGGGGCUAGCGUUGUUCGGAAUUACUGGGCGUAAAGCGCACGUAGGCGGAUCGAUCAGUCAGGGGUGAAAUCCCAGGGCUCAACCCUGGAACUGCCUUUGAUACUGUCGAUCUGGAGUAUGGAAGAGGUGAGUGGAAUUCCGAGUGUAGAGGUGAAAUUCGUAGAUAUUCGGAGGAACACCAGUGGCGAAGGCGGCUCACUGGUCCAUUACUGACGCUGAGGUGCGAAAGCGUGGGGAGCAAACAGGAUUAGAAACCCUAGUAGUCCCA